GUGUCAUUAUUGGAACUGGAAAAGGAUGGAGGAGCUGGGGGAUCUGGUAUGUCUAUUGUCCCUUCCAACAUCAGCACCACGUUCUUCAUCGACGGCCGAGAUGAGGGCUCAUCCUGGAUGCACCAUAGUCCUACUUUGACCAGCCUCUCAAGUUUACCUUCCUGCACCUCUUCGUCCUGGAUUAGAUUAUCUAACUCAUUAGCCUCAAAGCAAUCAUAGACCCAGCUUGCAAGAACAACUUGGUCGUCAGGAACAUUCAAAUCCACAUUCCUACGACAGCAUAUGAUCUCCAGUAACAUUUUUCCAUAGCUGUACACAUCUACCUUGACGGUAAUUGGCAAGUUAGUGUGCCACUCAGG
RNAcentral lists this unclassified non-coding RNA (359 nucleotides) under Hevea brasiliensis (rubber tree). Lineage: Eukaryota; Viridiplantae; Streptophyta; Magnoliopsida; Malpighiales; Euphorbiaceae. The record is from RNAcentral.